Chelonus insularis is the source of this 1685-nucleotide long non-coding RNA. RefSeq lists it as uncharacterized. The record is from RefSeq and is a predicted model, not a curated record. The transcript has 6 exons. Lineage: Eukaryota; Metazoa; Arthropoda; Insecta; Hymenoptera; Braconidae.
UUAAUGUUCUUGGUUUGUUUAAGUAUUACAACAAUAAUAGAAAAUAAAUUAAAGUUUAUUAUUAACAAAAGUGAUUUUAAGAGUUUUAGAAUGAGUAAAGGGAAAGAAAAUAGGAAUAAAAGUGAUAAAAAAUGGAUGAGUGGCGGUUUUUCUUAUUAUAAAGUAAAUGAAUAUGAAAGAAACGAUGGUGUUGUUACGACGAGCACAAUAAAAAUUUCAACUGCCCAGCAACCGGGCACUUUAUUAAUAACAUUUAUUAUACAAAAGUGAAAAAACAUACAAACGAACCAGAUCCGUUGUUAAUACAGAGACGAGCAACCUAUAAACGUGCGAAAGAUUUGAGUGUAAUACGUGGAAUCAAUGCAGGCCAAAAUUAUACUACAUCUUUCUUAAUAGAAAAUAGUAAAAUUGCUGAAGUUACACCACCGUGCAAAGUGCGUAGAACACUACAAAAGAAGCUUAAUAUUAAUAUUAAGUGUAAUAUAUAUAUAGCUUAAUAUAGUAAUCAAAAUACAGUGUAAUAUCAAUAAUUUGAGGUUAUCAAGCCGGUCAAAUAUUUUUAAUAAAAAAUGCUGGUAUGUGGUCUGAGGCAAUACGUAUUUGGAGAGAGUACUUACCAAGUCAAGAAGCAGCUUUACGUCGUGAGUUAACACAAAAAAGCAUUGGAAAUGAUAGCACACAAACUCUGAAAGAAGCUGGAUGUUGGUUAAAAAUACCGCUUCACAAGUUGCUACAGAAUUAAGAUGGUAUAAGCAUUAUAGCUUACAAGAUCAAUACGUCAGGCAAAGAAGAAGGUUUUGGUCAGUCUAUUUUACACUACGGUCAAUUAGUAUUUCAUGCUUCUCCAUAUAGUCUUCAGGAUGUAUUUAGCUGUAUGGUAACAGCUAAAUUUAUACAUGUACUUCAAAAAGAUGUAUUUCGAGCUCUUUGUAAAUUAUCUAUGAAACCUCUACCAGAUGGAACAUCUGAUCCCAAAUCACAUGAAUUAAGAUCUAAAAUAUUAUCGUUACAAUUACUAUUAGGCAUUUUACAAAAUGCUGGACCAAUCAUACGAUAAAAUAAACUGUUUGUUAUUACAAUUAAACAAUACUUGUGUGUUGCAUUAUCUAAAAAUGGUGUAUCAUCUCUGAGAAUGAUCAGAGAUUCAACUGGACAAUAAUACGAACAGUCGUAGCAGAAGAACUACUUUAGUAGAAAUCUUUAUAGUACACUGCAAUUUUCUUUCUCUUUUUCAAUAAAAAAAAAAUUAUAUAGUGUGGAUAGUGGAAUUAAAGUUACUCUUAUCCCAGUUGUUCUAUUCAAACUGCAUGAAUAUAAGAUCUAAAUUUGUUUGACAGCCUGAUUAAUUUUGUUUUGAUAUCAAUAAUUAUAUUAUAGACCUAUACAAUUCAAUGUUUAUUAAUAUUCUGCUAUUAUACAAUUUUUAUAUAAAUUUUAUUCGGUGUAUGCAUAAAUGUUAACAAACGAACGAUUAGAUAAAACAGCGAUUGGAGAUUUCUUAGGAUAUCACAAUCAUAAUCAAGUUAUGAAUAAUUAUUAAUGUAGUUAACUACAUUGAUCAAAUGGAUUUUGCUAAUAGAGAUUUAGUUACAGUAUUUAAUACAAAAUUACUUAUUGAAACAAAUCGAUAAAUUAGAUUUAGAAAUAAAUUUAGUAUCAUCAAAGAGAAAAAAUUGUAUAAUUAU